UACGUAGGGGGCGAGCGUUGUCCGGAAUCAUUGGGCGUAAAGAGCGUGUAGGUGGACUGGAAGGUCUGGUGUGAAAGCCCGGGGCUCAACCCCGGAGGGUCACUGGAAACCAACAGUCUUGAGUCUGGAAGAGGAGAGUGGAAUUCCUGGUGUAGCGGUGGAAUGCGCAGAUAUCAGGAGGAACACCAAUUGCGAAGGCAGCUGGCUACACGGUAAUUGACACUGAGGCACGAAAGCGUGGGGAGCAAACAGG
This 253-nucleotide ribosomal RNA is filed under the name uncultured bacterium. RNAcentral's name for it is "partial 16S ribosomal RNA". It matches the Rfam family "Bacterial small subunit ribosomal RNA", at positions 524 to 776 of the family's 1533-position model. The record is from RNAcentral.